AGCGCAACCCUUAUUGUUAGUUGCCAUCAUUCAGUUGGGCACUCUAGCGAGACUGCCGGUAAUAAACCGGAGGAAGGUGGGGAUGACGUCAAAUCAUCAUGCCCCUUAUGACCUGGGCUACACACGUGCUACAAUGGUUGGUACAACGAGUCGCAAGUCGGUGACGGCAAGCAAAUCUCUUAAAGCCAAUCUCAGUUCGGAUUGUAGGCUGCAACUCGCCUACAUGAAGUCGGAAUCGCUAGUAAUCGCGGAUCAGCACGCCGCGGUGAAUACGUUCCCGGGCCUUGUACACACCGCCCGUCACACCACGAGAGUCUGUAACACCCGAAGUCGGUGAGGUAACCGUAAGGAGCCAGCCGCCUAAGGUGGGAUAGAUGAUUGGGGUGAAGUCGUAC
RNAcentral lists this ribosomal RNA (395 nucleotides) under Lactobacillus amylovorus. RNAcentral describes it as "bacterial SSU rRNA". It matches the Rfam family "Bacterial small subunit ribosomal RNA", at positions 1095 to 1491 of the family's 1533-position model. Lineage: Bacteria; Bacillati; Bacillota; Bacilli; Lactobacillales; Lactobacillaceae. RNAcentral also lists the same sequence under 1 other name. The record is from RNAcentral.